RNAcentral lists this ribosomal RNA (439 nucleotides) under uncultured bacterium. Its description in RNAcentral is "bacterial SSU rRNA". It matches the Rfam family "Bacterial small subunit ribosomal RNA", at positions 26 to 507 of the family's 1533-position model. The record is from RNAcentral.
GGCUACAGAACGAACGCUGGCGGCAGGCUUAACACAUGCAAGUCGAGCGCCCCGCAAGGGGAGCGGCGGACGGGUGAGUAACGCGUGGGAACGUACCCUUUGCUACGGAAUAGCCUCGGGAAACUGGGAGUAAUACCGUAUGUGCCCUUCGGGGGAAAGAUUUAUCGGCAAAGGAUCGGCCCGCGUUGGAUUAGGUAGUUGGUGGGGUAAUGGCCUACCAAGCCGACGAUCCAUAGCUGGUUUGAGAGGAUGAUCAGCCACACUGGGACUGAGACACGGCCCAGACUCCUACGGGAGGCAGCAGUGGGGAAUCUUAGACAAUGGGCGCAAGCCUGAUCUAGCCAUGCCGCGUGAGCGAUGAAGGCCUUAGGGUUGUAAAGCUCUUUCAGUGGGGAAGAUAAUGACUGUACCCACAGAAGAAGCCCCGGCUAACUCCGUG